GUAUUGGUUUUCGGACCAAGAGACCGGCGCACGGGUGCGUAACGCGUAAGUAAUCUACCCUCGGGUGGGGAAUAACGUUCGGAAACGGACGCUAAUACCGCAUAAUGCAGCGGCACCGCAAGGUGACAGUUGUUAAAGAUUUAUUGCCUGGGGAGGAGCUUGUGGCAGAUUAGCUUGUUGGUAAGGUAACGGCUUACCAAGGCUACGAUCUGUAUCCGGUCUAAGAGGACGGUCGGACACACUGACACUGAAUAACGGGUCAGACUCCUACGGGAGGCAGCAGUCGGGAAUUUUGGGCAAUGGGGGAAACCCUGACCCAGCAACGCCGCGUGAAGGAUGAAGUAUUUCGGUAUGUAAACUUCGAAAGAAUAGGAAGAAUUAAUGACGGUACUAUUUAUAAGGUCCGGCUAACUACGUGCCAGCAGCCGCGGUAAUACGUAGGGACCAAGCGUUGUUCGGAUUUACUGGGCGUAAAGGGCGCGUAGGCGGCGCGGUAAGUCACUUGUGAAAUCUCUGAGCUUAACUCAGAACGGCCAAGUGAUACUGCAGUGCUAGAGUGUGGAAGGGGCAAUCGGAAUUCUUGGUGUAGCGGUGAAAUGCGUAGAUAUCAAGAGGAACACCUGAGGUGAAGACGGGUUGCUGGGCCAACACUGWCGCUGAGGCGCGAAAGCCAGGGGGAGCAAACGGGAUUAGAUACKCCGGUAGUYCYUGGCCCUAAACGAURAAUACUUGGUGUCUGGAGUUUUAAUGYUCCSGGUGCCGUYSCUWACSUUUUAGUAUUCCSGCCUGGGGAGUACGCUCGCAARAGUGAAACUCMAAGGAAAUUGACGGGGACCCCGYACAAGCGGUGGAGC
RNAcentral lists this ribosomal RNA (854 nucleotides) under uncultured bacterium. RNAcentral describes it as "bacterial SSU rRNA". It matches the Rfam family "Bacterial small subunit ribosomal RNA", at positions 68 to 938 of the family's 1533-position model. The record is from RNAcentral.